Molecule: long non-coding RNA, 343 nt
Filed under: Trifolium pratense (red clover)
Lineage: Eukaryota; Viridiplantae; Streptophyta; Magnoliopsida; Fabales; Fabaceae
Description: long non-coding RNA (TPRA_LNC008593)
Source: RNAcentral
CCAAGCCAACUGCAAUCGAUAACACUAAUAGGCUCACAGAAUAAAUUCCUUAAACAGCCAUGUCAAAAUAUAAUUGAAUACCUAGUAGGCUAGUAAGAGCAAAUUUGGUUUUGGUAACUGGCAUUCUAUUUCCCUAGGGAGUGACAUGGAACAUACACGAAUUUGGAUUGUUCGGAGUCAACAAUUUCAUGCAGUUUGCACAUUGAUGGUCAUUGGAUUGAGAUCGAACAAUCCAUAUUUCAAUGCAGAUUUGAUUUUAAAAUAAAAUACCAAAUUUGAAAUCUAGACCGUCUGAUCUCAAUCUAACUACCGAUGUGCUGACUGCAGGUAAUCUUGAUGAAAC